CUCUUGUUCUUGCAUUAUUGUUCUUGUCUUUUAUAUUAUUUCAUAACACGUUAUCAGCACGAAACUCUACCGUCUCAAGAAGCUCUUUGGGAAGAAUGUAACGAAACUGGAAGAAGAAGGGAUUUUGAAAGAAAAAAAAAAUCGAAGAAAGAAAGAAGGAACAGAAGAGAACAAAGAAAGUGUGAAGAAAAAAAAAAGAAGAAAGGGAUUCCCACUAUUUGCGUG
Molecule: long non-coding RNA, 225 nt
Filed under: Nicotiana benthamiana
Lineage: Eukaryota; Viridiplantae; Streptophyta; Magnoliopsida; Solanales; Solanaceae
Description: long non-coding RNA (NBEN_LNC023055)
Source: RNAcentral